RNAcentral lists this ribosomal RNA (254 nucleotides) under uncultured bacterium. Its description in RNAcentral is "partial 16S ribosomal RNA". It matches the Rfam family "Bacterial small subunit ribosomal RNA", at positions 524 to 776 of the family's 1533-position model. The record is from RNAcentral.
UACGUAGGGUGCAAGCGUUAAUCGGAAUUACUGGGCGUAAAGCGUGCGCAGGCGGUGAUGUAAGACAGAUGUGAAAUCCCCGGGCUCAACCUGGGAACUGCAUUUGUGACUGCAUCGCUGGAGUGCGGCAGAGGGGGAUGGAAUUCCGCGUGUAGCAGUGAAAUGCGUAAGAUGACGGAGGAGACACCGAUGGCGAAGGCAAUCCCCUGGGCCUGCACUGACGCUCAUGCACGAAAGCGUGGGGAGCAAACAGG